UCAGGGCUUACUGAAGACAGGGGGCAAGGCUGUCCUUCUGUUUGCUCCAGCCUCAAACAGCAAAGCAACAGAUGUAGAAGACAGGAAACUUUAUUUGAACUCCCUAUAUAAUCUUGCUCCUUCCUUGCUACCUGCUGAAGGGUCCAGGCUCCUGCUAACCCUUAUUGGGUUAUUGCUUACUUGACAGUAAUAGAGGACUUCUUGCUCCCUGGUUGCCAUAGAACUGGACUCUGUGCCAACGUCACAUAAGGCAGUCUUGACAGACAAGUGAGUGGACGCGGAAGACGGCAUGAGAACUGCAUUAGAGAGAUCAACUGGCGGCUUCGGCAAUGGUGUCUCGAGGCAGGCUUUGGCUUCCUGGACAACGACCCGCACAUCACGACAAGGGACAUGCUCAGUUGGGAUGGGCUUCACCUGUCCUCCAAAGGUAAGCAUGUGUUCUCUUCUAGGUUGGCAGAUCUCCUCCGGCGGGCUUUAAACUAGGCUCACUGGGGGGAGGGGAAGAUGAGGGCAGGGGAAGCUGUGGACCACCAAACCAUGUGGCACCCACAAGGACAGCCCAGCCUGAAGAAGGAGAACAUUGGGAACCUGCAAUCCAUGGGACGGCCAGCACUACAGCACAGGUAAGCAAUAAGCAGGCAAGCAAUAAGGGGCCCUUUGGGAAUCAGAGCUGGGGGUCAAAAAAGGCACCAGUCACAGGGCUCAAGUGCCUAUACACUAAUGCUAGGAACAUGGGGAACUAGCGCUCCUGCUUGCAGAAAACACCUACGACUUAGUGGGGCUAUCUGAAACCUGGUGGGAUUCUUCCCACGACUGGGUGGUACAUAUUGAGGGUUAUAGGCUGUACAGAAAGGACAGGGUGGGGAAGAGAGGGGGAGGGGUUGCGCUCUAUGUCAAUGAGCAAUAUACUUCGA
This is a long non-coding RNA of Alligator mississippiensis (American alligator), 914 nucleotides long. RefSeq lists it as uncharacterized. The record is from RefSeq and is a predicted model, not a curated record. The transcript has 3 exons. Lineage: Eukaryota; Metazoa; Chordata; Crocodylia; Alligatoridae.